CGGCGUGCUUAACACAUGCAAGUCGAACGGAGUUAAGAAGGAAGCUUGCUUUCAUUUAAACUUAGUGGCGGACGGGUGAGUAACGCGUGAGGAACCUGCCCUUCAUGGGGGAACAACAACUAGAAAUGGUUGCUAAUACCGCAUAAUGUCGGAUUGCCGCAUGACAGACCGACCAAAGGAUUUAUUCGCUGAAGGAUGGCCUCGCGUCCGAUUAGAUAGUUGGUGAGGUAACGGCCCACCAAGGUCUACGAUCGGUAGCCGAACUGAGAGGUUGAUCGGCCACAUUGGGACUGAGACACGGCCCAGACUCCUACGGGAGGCAGCAGUGGGGAAUAUUGGGCAAUGGGCGAAAAGCCUGACCCAGCAACGCCGCGUGAAGGAUGACGGUCUUCGGAUUGUAAACUUCUUUAAUUGGGGAAGAAUAAAUGACCUACCCAAAGAAUAAGUCACGGCUAACUACGUGCCAGCCGCUGC
RNAcentral lists this ribosomal RNA (474 nucleotides) under uncultured bacterium. RNAcentral describes it as "bacterial SSU rRNA". It matches the Rfam family "Bacterial small subunit ribosomal RNA", at positions 40 to 518 of the family's 1533-position model. The record is from RNAcentral.